GCGGGAGAGGCGCGGCCGCGACCCGGGAGCUGCCCGGGGAGCCCAUUCACUCAGCACCGGAGCGCUGCGGCGGGAAGGAGCGGGCUGAAGCACCAGGAAAUGAAGUUAUCUCCAGGAACAUGAAAAGCCACUGCAGCCAGUGAAUUGUUCUACAAUUAAAGGAAAGUCAAGAGAAAAUCAAAGCCAGUUUUGUGCAGAGCACCUAAAGAAGAGUGUUUGCAAGGACGGCCAGACUGACUCUGCAAUGAGAGGGGCGCAGGCGCAGAGAGCUCUCCAACUUCAACUGCUGUCCGUCUGCUCGCACUCACGACAACCACGUUUCCAGCCUGUUCUGCCGCUUCAGGAUUUACCUACUCCUCCGGCCAAGCACAACGUGAGCAGAGCGCCCCGCACAGCCG
This is a long non-coding RNA of Strigops habroptila (Kakapo), 398 nucleotides long. RefSeq lists it as uncharacterized. The record is from RefSeq and is a predicted model, not a curated record. The transcript is spliced from 3 exons. NCBI's taxonomy places the organism in Eukaryota, Metazoa, Chordata, Aves, Psittaciformes, Psittacidae.